GGUGAAUCUUUCGGAAAUACUCAUGGUUUGAUGAUUUCCUUGUCGGGGCGGAAGCUUGAGAUUAGAGGAACGCUUGUGGAAACUAUCAGCGUUGGAAGCUCAAGAGAUAAGCCAUAUUAGGUGUUUAUUCGAAGAAAACGCAAGGAAGAAGAAGGAGCGCGUGCACUACACGCAAGGUGUGUGAGGAGCCGCGACUGGGCGUGGACUCGGAGUUCUCCUGGCGCGUGGGACAAACACACCGAUAAUGUGAGGGCGCGUAAGACCUCAUUUCGGCUUCUGGUCUAAUUUGAAGGAAUUGUGUUGAAAUACCCUAUUAAACGUACGUCCAAGGGAAAAGGAGUUCGAAACCAGAUUUAGUUGAUGCAGGCCAACCAAGGACGAGACCAAUGGGCUAGAGACUUCAGGGAAUCCAUGUCUGUGUCUGUUUUGUGUACUUAUGCUUUCGCUGUCAA
Long non-coding RNA from Cucurbita maxima (winter squash), 452 nucleotides. RefSeq lists it as uncharacterized. The record is from RefSeq and is a predicted model, not a curated record. The transcript is spliced from 4 exons. NCBI's taxonomy places the organism in Eukaryota, Viridiplantae, Streptophyta, Magnoliopsida, Cucurbitales, Cucurbitaceae.